RNAcentral lists this ribosomal RNA (578 nucleotides) under uncultured Hyphomicrobiales bacterium. Its description in RNAcentral is "bacterial SSU rRNA". It matches the Rfam family "Bacterial small subunit ribosomal RNA", at positions 8 to 630 of the family's 1533-position model. The record is from RNAcentral. Lineage: Bacteria; Pseudomonadati; Pseudomonadota; Alphaproteobacteria; Hyphomicrobiales.
AGAGUUUGAUCCUGGCUCAGAACGGACGCUGGCGGCAGGCUUAACACAUGCAAGUCGAACGCGUGUAGCAAUACACGAGUGGCGCACGGGUGAGUAACGCGUGGAUAUCUGCCUUUUGGUUCGGAAUAACCCCGGGAAACUGGGGCUAAUACCGGAUGGUUCCUUCGGGAUAAAGAUUUAUCGCCAAAAGAUGAGUCCGCGUACGAUUAGCUAGUUGGUGAGGUAAUGGCUCACCAAGGCGACGAUCGUUAGCUGGUCUGAGAGGACGAUCAGCCACACUGGGACUGAGACACGGCCCAGACUCCUACGGGAGGCAGCAGUGGGGAAUAUUGGACAAUGGGGGCAACCCUGAUCCAGCCAUGCCGCGUGAGUGAUGAAGGCCUUCGGGUUGUAAAGCUCUUUUGGCGGGGACGAUGAUGACGGUACCCGCAGAAUAAGCCCCGGCUAACUUCGUGCCAGCAGCCGCGGUAAGACGAAGGGGGCUAGCGUUGUUCGGAAUUACUGGGCGUAAAGCGAGUGUAGGUGGUUGUCCAAGUUGGAUGUGAAAGCCUUGAGCUCAACUCAAGAAAUGCAUUCAG